This 368-nucleotide transfer-messenger RNA is filed under the name Christensenellaceae. RNAcentral describes it as "Scatosoma sp003150575 Standard tmRNA". It matches the Rfam family "transfer-messenger RNA". From Rfam's summary of the family: Bacterial tmRNA, also known as 10Sa RNA or SsrA, is named for its dual tRNA and mRNA-like properties. Its role is to liberate the mRNA from a stalled ribosome. To accomplish this part of the tmRNA is used as a reading frame that ends in a translation stop signal. RNAcentral also lists the same sequence under 1 other name. Lineage: Bacteria; Bacillati; Bacillota; Clostridia; Christensenellales. The record is from RNAcentral.
GGGGGUGCACCGGAUUCGAUUGCCGGUGAGCGAAAAAAUAAGCAUACUGCGGACGGAGUGACCGCAUUAAAAAAAUUCCGCUAAAUUUAAAUGCAGAUAACAAUGCAAAUUACGCACUUGCUGCGUAAAUUCGUUAUUUAAUAGCGAACGUCGCGCCCGAUUUAUCCGUCGGUCGGGGGUGCGGCGUCAAACAGACGGAAAAAUCUCAAGCGGAUCGGGAAGUGUUCUUUGAGAUUAUUUAGCUUCCUGCGGGACGCAAAGCGUGUUUAGCCGCGUUGCGCUUUUUAAGAAAAGUAGAUAAACUAAGUAUGUAGAAAGUUUUUUGGCAGCCGCGUAAGACGUGAGUUCGACUCUCACCACCUCCACCA